This 370-nucleotide ribosomal RNA is filed under the name uncultured bacterium. RNAcentral's name for it is "bacterial SSU rRNA". It matches the Rfam family "Bacterial small subunit ribosomal RNA", at positions 790 to 1167 of the family's 1533-position model. The record is from RNAcentral.
GUAGUCCACGCUGUAAACGAUGAUUACUAGGUGUGGGGGGUCUGACCCCUUCCGUGCCGGAGUUAACACAAUAAGUAAUCCACCUGGGGAGUACGGCCGCAAGGUUGAAACUCAAAGGAAUUGACGGGGGCCCGCACAAGCAGUGGAUUAUGUGGUUUAAUUCGAAGCAACGCGAAGAACCUUACCAGGUCUUGACAUCCCUAGCAUAACCCAGAGAUGGGUGAAGCCCUUCGGGGCUAGGUGACAGGUGGUGCAUGGUUGUCGUCAGCUCGUGUCGUGAGAUGUUGGGUUAAGUCCCGCAACGAGCGCAACCCUUACUAUUAGUUGCUACGCAAGAGCACUCUAAUGGGACUGCCGUUGACAAAACGGA